GAUGAAGAACGCAGCGAAAUGCGAUAAGUAGUGUGAAUUGCAGAAUUCAGUGAAUCAUCGAAUCUUUGAACGCACAUUGCGCCCUUUGGUAUUCCAAAGGGCAUGCCUGUUCGAGCGUCAUUUGUACCCUCAAGCUUUGCUUGGUGUUGGGCGUCUUGUCUCUAGCUUUGCUGGAGACUCGCCUUAAAGUAAUUGGCAGCCGGCCUACUGGUUUCGGAGCGCAGCACAAGUCGCACUCUCUAUCAGCAAAGGUCUAGCAUCCAUUAAGCCUUUUUUUCAACUUUUGACCUCGGAUCAGGUAGGGAUACCCGCUGAACUUAAGCAUAUCAAUAAGCGGAGA
This 340-nucleotide unclassified non-coding RNA is filed under the name soil metagenome. Its description in RNAcentral is "partial contains 5.8S ribosomal RNA, internal transcribed spacer 2, and large subunit ribosomal RNA". The stretch from base 1 to 120 matches the Rfam family "5.8S ribosomal RNA", at positions 35 to 154 of the family's 154-position model. The record is from RNAcentral.